Molecule: long non-coding RNA, 236 nt
Filed under: Gossypium barbadense (sea-island cotton)
Lineage: Eukaryota; Viridiplantae; Streptophyta; Magnoliopsida; Malvales; Malvaceae
Description: long non-coding RNA (GBAR_LNC006695)
Source: RNAcentral
GUAUGAAUAUGCAUGAAAAACCCUAAAAUAGAUAAAUUACUGAAAUACCUUUAAAAGUGGAAAAUUUACAGUUUUACCCCUAGGAGAUAAAUUACCAAAAUACCCCUAGGGUUAAAUUGACCUAAAUGCAUGUUUGACUGUUGUUAUUUACUGCAUGCCAUGUUGUUAUUAUCUGAUGCAUGGGACUGGGAUAUUGACGGAGGAAGUACUGAAAGUGGCUUGUCCACGCACUGGAG